This 1270-nucleotide long non-coding RNA is filed under the name Pongo abelii (Sumatran orangutan). RNAcentral's name for it is "lincRNA". Lineage: Eukaryota; Metazoa; Chordata; Mammalia; Primates; Hominidae. The record is from RNAcentral.
AUAGCAACAGCAGGGUAGCUGAACAUCUUACGGAUGGCCCAGGGCUCCAAAGGCUUGUUUCCUAAGUGAGAGAGAGCCCGGCUGAAGCUCUAUUACCAUUCAUUCUCUAGCCUCCGAAGUCUCAAAGCAUCACUUCCACCAUACUCUAAUUGUCAAGACAAACACAAAGUCCUAGAAACUGCCAGACUGUCUUCCGAAGUGGCUAUAAUAUUUACACUCCCAUCAGCAGUGUAGAUGGGGGUCUCACUACGUUGUCUGGAGUGCAGUGGCUAGAGUGGAGUGGCUAUUCACAGAGCCAGUUCUGCUGCGACACAGAAUCACUUGCUCCAUCUAAUACAUUGAUGAUGAUUAAUUUGUAUGUGUACCUUCCAAAAAAGAUGGUCGUGUUUGAACGGAGGCCUUCUGGACAGGAAAAUAAUCACAUCCUUCCUGAGAUAAUGAGCACACAAUUGCCUGGAUACCUGAAGGAAUGGAGACAGUGGCAGAAAACACUGCAGAGAGGUGGAAACAUCCGUUAAUAUUUUAAAUCCAUUACUGCUACCAACAAUAAUAACAGAUGCAUAGAAAUAGAUCUGGAUUAGCUGAGCUUGAAACAGUCCAUCUCACACACACCAAAAGAAUCAGAUACAGUGAACCCACAUGUUGAAGCUUUCUAGUAUAAUAAAAAUUUCAACUGUUCUGUUGAAUCAUCUGUCCUGAUUGGAGCUACAGAAAAGUUCAUCUUAGGAGUGCUUGCUCUGAGUGAGGCUCGUCUUCAAAUCUGAAUGACCACAAGGAGAUUUGAUUAUACAUGUGAACACCUCAGAAGGCACAGCCCGCCCAGAAGGCAGACAGGUCAGGCUGCUUUUUCUUCAUUGGUUGGAUUCAGUCCUCCGGCGGCUCAGACAUAACUUAAGCAUGAUUAAACUUUAGAAGAAGCUGCCAGGAAGACUGUGAAAUCUUCAUGCCCAAGGAUCCCUAAAAUUAGGAGCAACAACCACUUGGCUCUGACGGUUUACGGAGGCAAAGGUUUGGAUGGGAUUAGAGAUUUCUAAAUGUGAGUUCAUGUCCUCUGCCAGACCACCUUAUUUCCACCAUUCCUCAGCAAAUCAAGAAAAACAGGAGAAAAGACAUGCCUUUCCAUAAGUUAAAUCUAUUCUGUUUUAAUUCUAUAUUAUAUCUGCUAUACAACUUCUUUUGUUUGUAACACCAUAUUGUUGCUAGUAGCUGGAAAUUAAUUUUCACAUGCCUCAGCUUAGAAAAAUAAAAAGCAGCCCCGCAUCAAUCCCAA